UGCCGGUGAUAAACCGGAGGAAGGUGGGGAUGACGUCAAGUCAUCAUGGCCCUUAUGUCCAGGGCGACACACGUGCUACAAUGGCCGACACAAAGGGCAGCAAUACCGCGAGGUGGAGCGAAUCCCAAAAAGUCGGUCCAAGUUCGGAUUGGAGUCUGCAACUCGACUCCAUGAAGCCGGAAUCGCUAGUAAUCGUAGGUCAGCCAUACUACGGUGAAUACGUUCCCGGGCCUUGUACACACCGCCCGUCAAGCGAUGGAAGCUGGGGGUACCCGAAGCCGGUGGCCUAACCUUCGGGAGGGAGCCGUCGAAGGUAAACUCAGUGACUGGCGCUAAGUCGUAACAAGGUAGCCGUAGGGGAACCUGCGGCUGGAUCACCUCCUUUCUAGGGAG
This 393-nucleotide ribosomal RNA is filed under the name Gemmatimonadales bacterium. RNAcentral's name for it is "bacterial SSU rRNA". It matches the Rfam family "Bacterial small subunit ribosomal RNA", at positions 1150 to 1533 of the family's 1533-position model. Lineage: Bacteria; Pseudomonadati; Gemmatimonadota; Gemmatimonadia; Gemmatimonadales. The record is from RNAcentral.